CGGGGUAUAGCGCAGUCCGGUAGCGCGCCUGCUUUGGGAGCAGGAUGUCAGGAGUUCGAAUC
RNAcentral lists this transfer RNA (62 nucleotides) under Pseudomonas sp. NFACC23-1. Its description in RNAcentral is "tRNA_Pro_TGG". It matches the Rfam family "tRNA", at positions 1 to 59 of the family's 71-position model. Rfam says of the family: Transfer RNA (tRNA) molecules are approximately 80 nucleotides in length. Their secondary structure includes four short double-helical elements and three loops (D, anti-codon, and T loops). Lineage: Bacteria; Pseudomonadati; Pseudomonadota; Gammaproteobacteria; Pseudomonadales; Pseudomonadaceae. The record is from RNAcentral. RNAcentral also lists the same sequence under 2 other names.